GACCAGACUCCUACGGGAGGCAGCAGUGAGGAAUAUUGGUCAAUGGGCGGAAGCCUGAACCAGCCAAGCCGCGUGAGGGAGGAAGGUACAGAGUAUCGUAAACCUCUUUUGUCAGGGAACAAAGACUGGGACGCGUCCCCGGAUGAGUGUACCUGAAGAAAAAGCAUCGGCUAACUCCGUGCCAGCAGCCGCGGUAAUACGGAGGAUGCGAGCGUUAUCCGGAUUUAUUGGGUUUAAAGGGUGCGCAGGCGGAAGAUCAAGUCAGCGGUAAAAUGGCGGGGCUCACCCUCGUCGAGCCGUUGAAACUGGGUGCCUUGAGUGGGCGAGAAGUACGCGGAAUGCGUGGUGUAGCGGUGAAAUGCAUAGAUAUCACGCAGAACUCCGAUUGCGAAGGCAGCGUACCGGCGCCCAACUGACGCUGAAGCACGAAGGCGUGGGUAUCGAACAGGAUUAGAUACCCUUGUACU
This 467-nucleotide ribosomal RNA is filed under the name uncultured bacterium. RNAcentral describes it as "bacterial SSU rRNA". It matches the Rfam family "Bacterial small subunit ribosomal RNA", at positions 329 to 794 of the family's 1533-position model. The record is from RNAcentral.